Molecule: non-coding RNA, 45 nt
Organism: Monodelphis domestica (gray short-tailed opossum)
Lineage: Eukaryota; Metazoa; Chordata; Mammalia; Didelphimorphia; Didelphidae
Source: Rfam
UCAUAGGCUUUUUUAAAAGCCAUUUUUGGCCUAAUGCAGUAUUCC